RNAcentral lists this ribosomal RNA (301 nucleotides) under uncultured bacterium. RNAcentral describes it as "partial 16S ribosomal RNA". It matches the Rfam family "Bacterial small subunit ribosomal RNA", at positions 509 to 807 of the family's 1533-position model. The record is from RNAcentral.
CAGUCGCCGCGGUAAUACGGAGGGUGCAAGCGUUAAUCGGAAUUACUGGGCGUAAAGCGCACGCAGGCGGUUUGUUAAGUCAGAUGUGAAAUCCCCGAGCUUAACUUGGGAACUGCAUUUGAAACUGGCAAGCUAGAGUCUUGUAGAGGGGGGUAGAAUUCCAGGUGUAGCGGUGAAAUGCGUAGAGAUCUGGAGGAAUACCGGUGGCGAAGGCGGCCCCCUGGACAAAGACUGACGCUCAGGUGCGAAAGCGUGGGGAGCAAACAGGAUUAGAUACCCGGGUAGUCCCUGUCUCUUAUAC